RNAcentral lists this ribosomal RNA (496 nucleotides) under uncultured Novosphingobium sp. RNAcentral's name for it is "bacterial SSU rRNA". It matches the Rfam family "Bacterial small subunit ribosomal RNA", at positions 28 to 586 of the family's 1533-position model. The record is from RNAcentral. Lineage: Bacteria; Pseudomonadati; Pseudomonadota; Alphaproteobacteria; Sphingomonadales; Sphingomonadaceae.
AAACGACGCUGGGGAUGCUACAAUGCUGUCGACGAACCUUCGGGGUCAUGGCGCACGGGUCGUACGCGUGGAUGACCUUUGCUUCGGAAUACAGUUAGAAAUGACUGCUAAUACCGGAUGAUGUCUUCGGACCACAGAUUAUCGGCAAGGGAUGAGCCCGCGUAGGAUUAGGUAGUUGGUGGGGUAAAGGCCUACCAAGACGACGAUCCUUAGCUGGUCUGGGAGGAUGAUCAGCCACACUGGGACUGAGACACAGCCCAGACUCCUACGGGAGGCAGCAGUGGGGAAUAUUGGACAAUGGGCGCGAGCCUGAUCCAGCAAUGCCGCGUGAGUGAUGAAGGCCUUCGGGUCGUCAAGCUCUUUUACCAGAGCAUGAUAAUGACCGUACCUGGAGAAUAAGCUCCGGCUAACUCCGUGCCAGCAGCCGCGGUAAUACGGAGGGAGCUAGCGUUGUUCGGAAUUACUGGGCGUAAAGCGCACGUAGGCGGGUACUCAA